This 303-nucleotide ribosomal RNA is filed under the name uncultured bacterium. Its description in RNAcentral is "partial 16S ribosomal RNA". It matches the Rfam family "Bacterial small subunit ribosomal RNA", at positions 507 to 807 of the family's 1533-position model. The record is from RNAcentral.
AGCAGUCGCCGCGGGAAUACAGAGGGUGCGAGCGUUAAUCGGAUUUACUGGGCGUAAAGCGUGCGUAGGCGGCUAAUUGAGUCGGAUGUGAAAUCCCCGAGCUUAACUUGGGAAUUGCAUUCGAUACUGGUUAGCUAGAGUGUGGGAGAGGAUGGUAGAAUUCCAGGUGUAGCGGUGAAAUGCGUAGAGAUCUGGAGGAAUACCGAUGGCGAAGGCAGCCAUCUGGCCUAACACUGACGCUGAGGUACGAAAGCAUGGGGAGCAAACAGGAUUAGAUACCCGGGUAGUCCCUGUCUCUUAUAC